Molecule: long non-coding RNA, 2301 nt
Organism: Cyprinus carpio (common carp)
Lineage: Eukaryota; Metazoa; Chordata; Actinopteri; Cypriniformes; Cyprinidae
Source: Ensembl
CAGCGCUCGACUGUUCCACAAAAAACCCCGAGCAUAUUAGUUUGCUUUCACUUUAAGAACCAAGCACGGAUUUAAUAUACAGAUGCCUUCUCUUUCUGAACUGUUAACGUUAAGACAUAUGACUAAACGACUGUGUUUACUAGGAAAUUCGCCCAAACGCGCAUUUUGAUGUAAUUUUGUCUGUAUUUAUUCAUCCAUGCACAAAAAAGUGGAAGAGAGCCCAAUUUAGUAUUCGCGCGUGCGGCUGUCUGUGUGCACGCGCUUCAGAUGUGUGCGCUGAAAACUUGUCACACAGCGCUCGACUGUUCCACAAAAAACCCCGAGCAUCUUUUAUGCUUCACCUUGUGCCUUCGGGCAGGGGCAGUCCUUAUAUCGAGUCCUGAUACGAGAGUUUGAGCGAGAAUGCACGCGUUGGUGGUAAUGCAUAGACGGACAUUAUGUGAAAAUGUGGACAGUGCCAAAUAAGGUGCCUAUUUAUAUUACAGAUAUCGAUAUAUUACGUGUGGCAUCGAUGCAUCGUAUCGUCAGACAUCGUAUCGAUGUAUCGAUCCAUAUCGAUGAAUCAUUACACCCCUAUUUCCUUCUGUAUGUCGCGUGCUUCAAAGAAGCAAAUCAAGUAAAACUUGGAUAAAGAUAACGCAUGGUUUGGCCAGUACUGAUAUGCAGUUCAUUUGUUUUUAUGUAGAGACGUGCUGCUGACGCGACACGAACACUUCCGCUCAGUUACUAUGACAACAGCGGGCGUCCGGUUUCCAAACAACAGAAGGAGCGCGCUCGGUUCAGCGGAGCUCCGUUCCUCCGUGUUUCUCGUCGAAGCGCUGCUCGUAAAGCACUCAUGGAUCCCGCCUCUUCACCCGCUCUGAAAACAGACGCUCGUCUGAAGCUGAAAGUCGAACACAGAAAGAAAAACGUGUUUGUAACGCAGCUGGAGGAGCACAGAGAGCAGACCGAGGAGCACGUCCAGCACAUCCCGGUGAUAACAGAGUCCUCCAGCGGGCUCCUGGACACCGGGGUCCACACGCUGCAGACCACACUAGUCCUGAAGAAGCGCUCCGAGGUGGACGCAGUGGACACACGGCUGAUGGACACACGGCAGGAGGUUCAGAGGAGCAUGAAGAUCCUGCAGCAGAGACGAGCGCAGCUGCAGCAGAGACAGACGGAGACGAAACACAGGGCAGUAAGAUUUGAGAAGUUUGUGGAGGAGAACGAGGUGAAACGUCGCCGUGCGCUGAAGAAGUUCCAGACGGAGAGAGAGCAGAACCAAGUGAAAGAACAGGAGAAAGCUGAGCUCUUCAAACAACUCCAGGACUUACAAGCCAGGCGUCAGUAUUUACAGGAGCGAGUGAACAAAUACAAGAUAUUCGAGGAGUUUCUGAUGAAGACUCUCGAUUUACUUCCAGACAAGUAUGUGGGCUACGGGACGGACCUGGUGACGCCGAUCAUCAGACGCUACGAGACGCUGACCGUCAGCCGAGAGGACCUCCUGCAGCAGCUGUCCAGCCUGACGGACGAGAUGAAGUCCAGCCAGAACCACAUGGAGUCCCUCAGACAGCAGCACAGCACCUUUAAACUGAUGACCAACCAGGAGCUGUCCGAGCGCCAGACACAGCUGGAUCAACUGAAAGAGAAGAACAAACAGCUGGAAAUGAUGCUCCACAUGCACCUGGGCCAGUCCAGAGACCAGGUGGAGGAGGUCGGGAACAUUUUGAUCGCGGUGAAGAACCUGUCGGAGCAGUGUUACCUGAGUCACUACGGAGCUCUGGACCUCAUGGACACCUCCUCCAUGAUGGACAUGAUAAAGGAAUUCAUCGUAGAGAAAGCCGACAUGGAGAGGAGAGCCACGAGACUCGUAGCCAGCAGCGGCGCCACUGUGAAGAGAACGACCCCGAAGAAGACCCCCAGCAGAAGCGGAGCGCUGACCGCACCGAAGACCCUGCCGUAGACCAGUCCAGCUCACUACAUCUGCUCGUGUAGCGUUCAUGAAGAAACAGCUUUAUAGAGACGAUCAAACACUUCUGUUCAAAUGUUUUUAUUCUUCAGCUUGAAAAUAACUGCUUUAUCAGUAAUUCUGUGAAAUCAUUAAAACAUUAUUUAACAAGGACAGUGUGACAUUUCAGUUCAACCUGAAGCUCAUUUUUACAAGAUUUUCAACUUUGACCAUCGGCAGAAGAGAAUCAAACAACACGAGCGUGAGUAAAUGCUUCGGGUGACAGAAGAAAACCAGACAGAUUUAACACUAGAAGAGUCAUUAAAAUGUAGAAAAAUUGAGGGAAAAUAAAUGCACAUAAAUUUUGGAUUCCA